GUGAAGAAGGCCUUCGGGUGUAAAGCACUUUCGGCCGGAACGAAAUCGCCUUCGUAAUAGCGAGGGUGGAUGACGGUACCGGAAGAAGAAGCACCGGCUAACUACGUGCCAGCAGCCGCGGUAAUACGUAGGGUGCGAGCGUUAAUCGGAAUUACUGGGCGUAAAGGGUGCGCAGGCGGUUCCGCAAGUCAGGCGUGAAAUCCCCGGGCUUAACCUGGGAAUGGCGCUUGAAACUACGGGACUAGAGUGUGGCAGAGGGAGGUGGAAUUCCACGUGUAGCGGUGAAAUGCGUAGAGAUGUGGAGGAACACCGAUGGCGAAGGCAGCCUCCUGGGUCAACACUGACGCUCAUGCACGAAAGCGUGGGGAGCAGACAGGAUUAGAUACCCUGGUAGUCCACGCCCUAAACGAUGAUGACUAGUUGUUGGAGGAGUUAAAUCCUUUAGUAACGCAGCUAACGCGAGAAGUCAUCCGCCUGGGGAGUACGGUCGCAAGAUUA
RNAcentral lists this ribosomal RNA (498 nucleotides) under uncultured Pseudomonadota bacterium. RNAcentral's name for it is "bacterial SSU rRNA". It matches the Rfam family "Bacterial small subunit ribosomal RNA", at positions 405 to 896 of the family's 1533-position model. Lineage: Bacteria; Pseudomonadati; Pseudomonadota. The record is from RNAcentral.